Molecule: ribosomal RNA, 460 nt
Filed under: uncultured bacterium
Lineage: Bacteria
Description: partial 16S ribosomal RNA
Rfam family: Bacterial small subunit ribosomal RNA
Source: RNAcentral
CCUACGGGGGGCAGCAGUGAGGAAUAUUGGUCAAUGGACGAGAGUCUGAACCAGCCAAGUAGCGUGAAGGAUGACUGCCCUAUGGGUUGUAAACUUCUUUUAUAAAGGAAUAAAACGAGGCACGUGUGCCUUUUUGCAUGUACUUUAUGAAUAAGGAUCGGCUAACUCCGUGCCAGCAGCCGCGGUAAUACGGAGGAUCCGAGCGUUAUCCGGAUUUAUUGGGUUUAAAGGGAGCGUAGAUGGGUUGUUAAGUCAGUUGUGAAAGUUUGCGGCUCAACCGUAAAAUUGCAAUUGAUACUGGCAGUCGUGAGUACAGUGGAGGUAGGCGGAAUUCGUGGUGUAGCGGUGAAAUGCUUAGAUAUCACGAAGAACCCCGAUUGCGAAGGCAGCUUACUAAACUGUGACUGACAUUGAUGCUCGAAAGUGUGGGUAUCAAACAGGAUUAGAUACCCUGGUAGUC